RNAcentral lists this ribosomal RNA (253 nucleotides) under uncultured bacterium. RNAcentral describes it as "partial 16S ribosomal RNA". It matches the Rfam family "Bacterial small subunit ribosomal RNA", at positions 524 to 776 of the family's 1533-position model. The record is from RNAcentral.
UACGGAGGGGGCUAGCGUUGUUCGGAAUUACUGGGCGUAAAGCGCACGUAGGCGGCUUUGCAAGUCAGAGGUGAAAGCCCGGGGCUCAACCCCGGGUCGGCCGUGCGGACUGCCGGGCUCGAGCACUGUAGAGGCGGGUGGAAUUCCGGGUGUAGCGGUGGAAUGCGUAGAGAUCCGGAAGAACACCGGUGGCGAAGGCGGCCCGCUGGGCAGUGGCUGACGCUGAGGCGCGACAGCGUGGGGAGCAAACAGG